This 433-nucleotide ribosomal RNA is filed under the name uncultured bacterium. RNAcentral describes it as "partial 16S ribosomal RNA". It matches the Rfam family "Bacterial small subunit ribosomal RNA", at positions 29 to 507 of the family's 1533-position model. The record is from RNAcentral.
AACGAACGCUGGCGGCAGGCCUAACACAUGCCAGUCGAACGAGGACUUCGGUCCUAGCGUCGGACGGGGGGGUAACGCGUGGGAACGUGCCCUUUGCUUCGGCAUAGCGCUGGGAAACUGGGAGUAAUACCGGAUGAGCCCUUUGGGGGAAAGGUUUAUCGGCGAAGGAUCGGCCCGCGUUGGCUUAGGUUGUUGGUGGGGUAAUGGCCUACCAAGCCGUCGUUCCAUAGCUGGUUUGAGAGGCAGGGCAGCCACUCUGGGGCUGAGACACGGCCCAGAAUCCUACGCGAGGCAGCAGUGGGGAAUCUUAGACAAUGGGGGAAACCCUGAUCGAGCCAUGCCGCGUGAGCGAUGAAGGCCUUAGGGUUGUAAAGCUCUUUAAGCUGGGAAGAUAAUGACGGUACCAGCAGAAGAAGCACCGGCUAACUCCGUG